This 825-nucleotide long non-coding RNA is filed under the name Homo sapiens (human). RNAcentral's name for it is "HSALNT0108140". Lineage: Eukaryota; Metazoa; Chordata; Mammalia; Primates; Hominidae. The record is from RNAcentral.
UGCAGCACCUGACCCUGAAGCUCUUCAGUUGCAAGAACUCCACAAGGGAAACAGUGUGACUGAAGCCAGGAAUGGAGGCUCCCAAGAAAAAGGAUCUGCUGCAGCUGUGGAUCAUGUCAAACACAAGCCCUGAGACACGCUGUGGAUGUAUGAAGGAUUCUGUUCGGUCAGGGAACUUCUUACAACCUAUGUACAGAUGUGUCUGAAUUUAGUAAGUCAGAUCCUUCAAGUAUUCGCAACUUUGAGAAAAUAAAACUUAACCUGCUGUGCAGAGCCCCUCUGCUCUCCCAGAAAUCAGCUGGUGGACAAAAAAGGGACAAACAGCAGCAGAAGAGACAACCACCUAAAUUAAAUAAUUGCAUCCUACAGAAAUCUUUCUUGCUCAUCUCCUAAUAUCAUCGACUACCUCUUUUAGAUGAAGCAUUGAACAUCUCUGCAUAUGUUUUAUCUGGUAAGUCUCACGUAUUUUACUCAGCCAAUUUUAGUCAUAAUAUCUCAGACUGUGGCUUAGACUGACUCAGUCUAUUCCAUUAGAUCCAGGUGACAGGGAAGUUUUGACGAGAUAGCCCUGGAGGAUGAAGAGAUGGAAAGGCCAGCUGAUGACUGGGCACACCUGUGUGGGGAAUUGGGGCCUGUGAUCCAAGGAGAAGUGCUGGCUAUCGGAGUCUGAAACAAACUUUGUUUACUUGUUAAUUUGGUCAAAGUAAUGGGAACAGGAUAUUCAGGAAAUCACAUGGCAACAGGGCAGGGCUCAGGCAAGAGACUAUUUUCGUGUUUCUUCUGAUGGUGAGCCUCACCAUAGGGAUGAAUGAUUACUUGGAAAAG